Molecule: long non-coding RNA, 405 nt
Filed under: Rattus norvegicus (Norway rat)
Lineage: Eukaryota; Metazoa; Chordata; Mammalia; Rodentia; Muridae
Description: long non-coding RNA NONRATT016965
Source: RNAcentral
GGUGUUGGCUGGGAAAUGCCGGUUAUUCCUGUGCCUGGAAUGGUUGGUCUUGUGUGUGUGACACAGCCAGAUGUCACUUCUCCUCAGCUGUCUCCUGUAGGAGCCUAACUUGGCUCUUUGCUUGUUGUCCUUCUGAGCCCUGUUCUCCCCUGAGGUGGAUGGCCCUGUGGCAUCACCACCAGAUUUUCCCUUCUAGCUUUCUCACCUGUGCUGAGGGCCAUCUCUCUCCGUUCCUGUGGUUUAUGUGGCUUCCUUGUGAUUCUUUGGCUCGUUUGACGCCUGUUCAAUCCUUCCAGGCUGGUUAAUCUCCCCAGCAGCCUGAUUGCUGGCCUGAUCUGAUCUAAGAUUUCUACGUGGGAUGUCUGGCACUUUGGUGACUUGCAGUUUGCCUUUCUCUCUUCUAUU